AAGCAACGCGAAGAACCUUACCAGGUCUUGACAUCCCGCUGACCGCUAUGGAGACAUAGUUUUCCCUUCGGGGACAGCGGUGACAGGUGGUGCAUGGUUGUCGUCAGCUCGUGUCGUGAGAUGUUGGGUUAAGUCCCGCAACGAGCGCAACCCUUGUUCUUAGUUGCCAUCAUUUAGUUGGGCACUCUAAGGAGACUGCCGGUGACAAACCGGAGGAAGGUGGGGAUGACGUCAAAUCAUCAUGCCCCUUAUGACCUGGGCUACACACGUGCUACAAUGGACGGUACAAACGGUUGCCAACCCGCGAGGGGGAGCUAAUCCGAUAAAACCGUUCUCAGUUCGGAUUGUAGGCUGCAACUCGCCUACAUGAAGCCGGAAUCGCUAGUAAUCGUGGAUCAGCAUGCCACGGUGAAUACGUUCCCGGGCCUUGUACACACCGCCCGUCACACCACGAGAGUUUGUAACACCCGAAGUCGGUGAGGUAACCUUUAUGGGGCCAGCCGCCGAAGGUGGG
Molecule: ribosomal RNA, 514 nt
Filed under: uncultured bacterium
Lineage: Bacteria
Description: bacterial SSU rRNA
Rfam family: Bacterial small subunit ribosomal RNA
Source: RNAcentral